RNAcentral lists this transfer RNA (60 nucleotides) under Tetrodontophora bielanensis (giant springtail). Its description in RNAcentral is "tRNA-Arg". Lineage: Eukaryota; Metazoa; Arthropoda; Collembola; Poduromorpha; Onychiuridae. The record is from RNAcentral.
UCUUAAGGAGCAAAGAUUGCAUCUAGUUUCGGCCUAGAUUUAGACUAAUAUCCUUUCAUA